AUUGAACGCUGGCGGUAUGCUUUACACAUGCAAGUCGAACGGUAACAGGUUAAGCUGACGAGUGGCGAACGGGUGAGUAAUGCAUCGGAACGUGCCCGGUCGUGGGGGAUAACGCAGCGAAAGCUGCGCUAAUACCGCAUACGAUCUGAGGAUGAAAGCGGGGGACCGUAAGGCCUCGCGCGAUCGGAGCGGCCGAUGUCAGAUUAGGUAGUUGGUGGGGUAAAGGCUCACCAAGCCAACGAUCUGUAGCUGGUCUGAGAGGACGACCAGCCACACUGGGACUGAGACACGGCCCAGACUCCGACGGGAGGCAGCAGUGGGGAAUUUUGGACAACGGGCGAAAGCCUGAUCCAGCAAUGCCGCGUGCAGGAAGAAGGCCUUCGGGUUGUAAACUGCUUUUGUACGGAGCGAAAAGGUCUCCUCUAAUACAGGGGGCUCAUGACGGUACCGUAAGAAUAAGCACCGGCUAACUACGUGCCAGCCGCCGCGGUAA
This 493-nucleotide ribosomal RNA is filed under the name uncultured bacterium. RNAcentral's name for it is "partial 16S ribosomal RNA". It matches the Rfam family "Bacterial small subunit ribosomal RNA", at positions 29 to 523 of the family's 1533-position model. The record is from RNAcentral.